AUCGCUUCUCGGCCUUUUGGCUAAGAUCAAGUGUAGGGACAAGAAUGUAACCUGUAUGUAAAUCUGAAAUGCAUCUCUGGUUGCACUCUUCAGGAACUACUCAGUUAAAUACAGGCAGGGAAGGGACCUGUCACUGCAGCACAGACAGAAGCAUU
This 155-nucleotide small RNA is filed under the name Marmota monax (woodchuck). The record is from RNAcentral. Lineage: Eukaryota; Metazoa; Chordata; Mammalia; Rodentia; Sciuridae.